AGCAUUAGCAGUUAUCUUAGUUGGGACUAACAGGAUGUCUUUUUGGAUCAUUCUAUUAUCCUACACAAAACUAAAAAUAAUCUAUUAAACUGUGGAGGCCAUCAUGAAUUUUCAAAUCCAGAGCAUUUUAAUUAAUUUCUAUGAGUCCCCCUAAAAAUCACUUGCGCCACCCCAUGCAAAAAUGUCUAGCUCCGUCCCUGAACAAGAGAGUUUUAAUGGCAAAUAACUAAACAAAGAUCCCACUUGACUACAGCAAGACACAAAUUAAUCAGGACAUCAUAAAACUGAAUUCAACGACGUACCAGGUUCACUGAAAAACUGAAAUUCCACCCUGAACAUUAGAAUUUAGUCAAACUAAGUCUAAAAUCUCGUUUCACAAUGGUGCCACUUUGAGGAGCAGUUGCCACACUGAAGAAAACACAAAGUGCAAACAUAAAGCCAUCAGACAACCCGGAGUUAUCCUGAGUGACUGCAGAGCUGACACAGAGGAUGGUGGAUUCUCUCUGCGGCGGCCCUCAGCCUCCUCCACUUCCUUCCAGUCCACUGGUGUUUGAUUUGUUUUCUCUUCUGUCAGAGCAUGGCGCCUUAAAUGGUUUCUGGCCUCAGGCGGCCAGGAAGCAAGGGGCUGUCCACAAACUGUCCCGCGGUUCAUCACACAUCCUGUAGAAUCUGUGACCAGGUGCGUUGUGGAGACAGAGAGCUGGAACUGAUUCGUCUAAUAAGGCAGAAUCUGUUCCUACAAGGACAAAUACUUCAAACCAGGAGAUUCUUUCCGGAGAGGCUGUGACAAGUGCUUCUGUCAUGAGUUUGGUUUCUACUGCUACUCGCCGAUGAAACCGACCUCAUGGCCCAAGAAGUGUCGCCGGGUCCGGACAGAGUGUGGAUAUAAGGUCAUUUAUAAGGAAAGCCCACUGGUGGAGUGCCGUGCCUACAGCUGGAUCAGAUGAUUUCGUGGGUGGAGUUAUCGAAAUGCUUUUAAUAGUCAUCACACAGGAAAGGAAAUAACUUUGAUCAUGUGGAGGACUAAGCAAGACGGGUCGAGUUAUUUUUGUGAUGCAUAAGUUCUACAUGAAAACAGCAGAAAUGAGCGUAUCAGCUGCUGUCGUGUUGAUUUGUGGUGUUUUGGUCACUCAAAAUGUAAAUAUCAUUAGAGCCUGAAAUUUGCACCCUGAACGCUAACAGUGGGUAUUAAACGUGUAAAUACUUUACGUGCAUUUAUGGUGCACAUCUAAACCUUUAUUUACACAUGCAUCUAGCCCCAGACUGGAAACUGCAGAGGUCAAAGCACCGUUUUAACUGCAGUAUACGGUAGUAAACGGUCAAUAACUGUAUGUUAUAGUUCCUGUAUACGAUAUUUGUACUAGUUUCUAUUCCAGGGCUAUUCAGCUAAAUCAC
Long non-coding RNA from Austrofundulus limnaeus, 1395 nucleotides. RefSeq lists it as uncharacterized. The transcript is spliced from 3 exons. The record is from RefSeq and is a predicted model, not a curated record. Lineage: Eukaryota; Metazoa; Chordata; Actinopteri; Cyprinodontiformes; Rivulidae.